AACGAACGCUGGCGGCGUGCUUAACACAUGCAAGUCGAACGAGAAAAUCGUAGCAAUACGGUGAGUAAAGUGGCGCACGGGUCCGUAACACGUGGGUAAUCUGCCUUCGGAUGAGGAACAACCUGUCGAAAGACGGGCUAAUGCCUCAUAAGACCACGAGAUCUAAGGAUCUUGGGGUCAAAGGUGGCCUCUAUUUAUAAGCUAUCGUCUGAAGCUGAGCCUGCGCACCAUUAGCUUGUUGGUAAGGUAACGGCUUACCAAGGCCUAGAUGGUUAGCUGGUCUGAGAGGACGACCAGCGACACUGGAACUGAGACACGGUCCAGACUCCUACGGGAGGCAGCAGUGGGGAAUUUUCCGCAAUGGGCGAAAGCCUGACGGAGUGACGCCGCGUGGGGGACGAAGGCCUCGGUCGUAACCC
RNAcentral lists this ribosomal RNA (419 nucleotides) under uncultured bacterium. Its description in RNAcentral is "bacterial SSU rRNA". It matches the Rfam family "Bacterial small subunit ribosomal RNA", at positions 29 to 431 of the family's 1533-position model. The record is from RNAcentral.